Molecule: ribosomal RNA, 460 nt
Filed under: uncultured bacterium
Lineage: Bacteria
Description: partial 16S ribosomal RNA
Rfam family: Bacterial small subunit ribosomal RNA
Source: RNAcentral
CCUACGGGAGGCAGCAGUGAGGAAUAUUGGUCAAUGGGCGCGAGCCUGAACCAGCCAAGUAGCGUGAAGGAUGACUGCCCUACGGGUUGUAAACUUCUUUUAUAAAGGAAUAAAGUGAGGCACGUGUGCCUUUUUGUAUGUACUUUAUGAGUAAGGAUCGUCUAACUCCGUGCCAGCAGCCGCGGUAAUACGGAGGAUCCGAGCGUUAUCCGGAUUUAGUGGGUUUAAAGGGAGCGUAGAUGGGCUGUUAAGUCAGUUGUGAAAGUUUGCGGCUCAACCUUAAAAUUGCAAGUGAUACUGGCAGUCUUGAGUAUAGUUGAGGUAGGCGGAAUUCGUGGUGUAGCGGUGAAAUGCUUAGAUAUCACGAAGAACUCCGAUUGCGAAGGCAGCUUACUAAACUGCCACUGACACUGAGGCUCGAAAGUGUGGGUAUCAAACAGGAUUAGAUACCCCAGUAGUC